UACGGGGGGAGCAAGCGUUGUUCGGAUUUACUGGGCGUAAAGGGCGCGUAGGCGGCCAGUACAAGUCAGUUGUGAAAUCUCCGAGCUUAACUCGGAACGGUCAACUGAUACUGUGCGGCUAGAGUGCAGAAGGGGCAACUGGAAUUCUUGGUGUAGCGGUGAAAUGCGUAGAUAUCAAGAGGAACACCUGCGGCGAAGGCGGGUUGCUGGGCUGACACUGACGAUGAGGCGCGAAAGCUAGGGGAGCGAACGGG
Molecule: ribosomal RNA, 254 nt
Filed under: uncultured bacterium
Lineage: Bacteria
Description: partial 16S ribosomal RNA
Rfam family: Bacterial small subunit ribosomal RNA
Source: RNAcentral